UUCUCAAGCUCUGAGAGCCGCUUCUGCUUAAGCAUAUUCAAGUCCUACAUCAAGAAAACAAAUACCUACACAUGUAAAGUAGGAACUUUGAUCAAGGUGAUCACAGUUUUUCAUUAAUUUUUCUUACCUCUGAAAGCUCUCUGCAGGAUUCUAUCAACCUUGCUCUUUUUGCGAAGCCCAGUGAGCAGAUGGUCUCGCCGACAUCAUCCUUAGAAGGACUGAUAUGCACUACCAUCAGAAAUUUUGAACCACCACCUGUAACAUAUCAACAUAAACCAUAUAGGUUUACAUUACAUUACAUUUGUUUGUAACUUUGAUGUUUCAAAUUGGACUGAGCAAUUUCUCUUACCAAGAGAAUCACUGAGAAUUUGGGUGAGCUUGCUGUUUCUGCAGAGUUUGAAAAUUAAAAUAAGCAAUGACAUCUCCAAGGGCUGAUAGAGAGAGGUUUAUGGCCUUACCUUCAUCCAUUGUCAACCCAGACGCACCAGUCUUUAGCAACCGCUCACUGCCACCAAGAUCGACGAGCCAAAGCUUGCUGACUUCUUCAGUGACACCUCCAGAUCUUCUUAUGGUAAUUCUUGUCAAGCUACACACAGACACAGCUAAGGCACAUAAAAUUGGGUACUGUUCAAGUUACCAUACUGCAGAAACUGAAACUCUGUAGCUGGAACGGCUCAUCAACCCACCAGUGUGAUCGGCUCGAAACAUCGUUGACAUUUGUCCAGGAUGUUGAUCGGGAUCGCCGCCCUCUGCAAUACCACUGGUUGGCUUUCUUGAUGUCUGGCAUCGCAACAUCGGUGAAUUGAUGGGUCUUUACCACGUUGUAUUGCAUUCUGUGGACCUGAAGAGAUGCUGCCUUGGUGCCAACAAGUCCCUGAGACUUCCCAUGUAGAGCUCAAGCAUGCUUAUGGAGAAAGAAUAUGUGGAUGAACUAUCUUGAGAAGCAUGCGAAAACAGUUCUUGUAUCGCUCGAGGCACGACGCCAAGGUUAUCGUUAGUUCCUUCCUGCAUGCAGUUUGGAA
Lolium rigidum is the source of this 1022-nucleotide long non-coding RNA. RefSeq lists it as uncharacterized. The transcript is spliced from 3 exons. The record is from RefSeq and is a predicted model, not a curated record. NCBI's taxonomy places the organism in Eukaryota, Viridiplantae, Streptophyta, Magnoliopsida, Poales, Poaceae.